RNA transcript from Spinacia oleracea (spinach), 15169 nucleotides. RefSeq lists it as uncharacterized. The record is from RefSeq and is a predicted model, not a curated record. Lineage: Eukaryota; Viridiplantae; Streptophyta; Magnoliopsida; Caryophyllales; Amaranthaceae. The transcript is spliced from 7 exons.
GUCAGAAUCGGAAAUAUUAUCGGAAUCGGAAAAUAAUUCCGGAAACGGAAAUAUUAAAUAUUUGUUCGAAACGAAAAUUAAUUCCGGAAUAGGAAAUAUUAAAUAUUGUUCGUAUCGGAAAUGAAUUCCGGAACCGGGAAUUUAAUCGGAAGCGCAUAGUACGAAUUAGCAUCGGACGAGGCUUGCUAGACGAAGGCCCAACACGAAGCCAGGCCCGCGCCCAGCAAGCCGAGCGCCCAACAUGGAGCUGCCACAGCCUCGUCAGGCCCAGCGCAAGGCCAGGCCCAGCGAGGCCUUUGGCGCGUGCACGCUGAGCGUGCUGUUGGGCUGCGAGCAGCGACUGCUCGUGUGGGCCGCAAGGCCUACGCGGUUGGUGCGAUGCUCGUGCCCAUACGAUGCUCAUGUUCGUAACGAAUCCUAAUCAUAUCGGAAUUCGUGUAUUGAUUAAAUCCUAACCCUAAUAGAUUAAAUUUAUUAUUUAGAGUUCAAAUAGGAUUCUAAUUAAUAAAUCCAAAUCCUAGUAGGAUUAUAAUUCCUUUUCCAUACCUCUAUAAAUAGGUGCCUAGGGUCAUAAUUUAUAGAUACAAUUGAAGUAUUCAAAGGUAAGAUUUUCAAGAAAAAUCAGCCACUCUCUUGCCCCUAUUUAGCCGAAAUCUAUACUACCUUAAGGGCGAUUCUAGUUGGUCAAGCUUAAGGCGGAUCCGGACGUGCUGUGGACUAUCUACGGAGGGACGAAACUUAGAGUCCUAAAGAGUUGUUCUUGUUCGGUUCGGGCGCAGCUAGGGAGGGCACGCAACGAAGUGUAUGCGUCUAAACUAUGCUAAAUGAUUAUGUGUAAAUAAUAUGUUUUCCUGGCUUUAUGGUUUUUCUGCAUGAUUUAUGUUUUGUCAUAUGAAUCAUAACCUAACAAAUCGAUGACAUUGAAAAAGAUGAAUAUCUCGUAAUAGAGUCUAAACCGGUGAAAACGAGUAAAAUAGUUACAAGGAAGAGGGAAAGAUUAUCUUCUAUACUCGAAAAAAGAUCAUCAGGCGAAGCAAAGGUAUACCAAAUUAAAUUAGUAGUUCAUUGUGGUCAUUGGUAUAGUCUUGCUUAAAACAAUAUAGGGAAGGGUCCUUCAACGUUAUUAGGUACCCACCAAAGGCUGACAUCCAGAUUAAUACUUGGUACAAUGAAUAUUUCAUGCGUUGGUAGUGUCCUUUAUUUUUAUUCGGUACCCACCAAAGGGUGACAUGCAGAUUAAUGCUUUCUUAUAUGUUCUUGGUACAAUGAAUAUUUCAUGCUUUGGUAGUGUCCUUCAACGUUAUUCGUACGUACCCACCAAAGGGUGGCAUCUAGAUUAAUACUUGGUACAAUGAAUAUUUCAUGCUUUGGUAGUGUCCUUUAACUUUAUUAGGUAACCACCAAAGGGUGACAUCCAGAUUAAUGAUUUCUUAUACGUUCUCAGUAGUGUCCUUACCUAUAUCCGGUAGCGACCAAAAAUAGAGUUAAUGAGUUUUAUUCAGUUGAAACAUGACUUGUUUCUACCAUUAUAUUCGAAAUAAGAUCAUCAGGCGAAGCAUAGGUACCAAAUUAAAUUAGUAAAUCAUUGUAGUCAUUGGUAUAGUCUUGCUUAAAAAAAUAUAGGUGUAGACACCUACUUUUGUCCCCAUUCCCGAAAGGGAAGGUUCGAUGAUGAAAGCGUAAAUCUCCACUUGACAACGCAUCUCAUAUAAAAUAACGAAUCUCAAUUCCCCUUUUCAUUUCACCAAAAACCUGCUAUUUAUGGAAACCUGCUAAAAAUAGUAACUGCCGUAAUGGCAGUUGUUAAAAGUGGCAAAUCAUAAAAUAUAGAAACCUGUCAGAAUUAGGUGUUGCACUCCAACAUAAAUCAUAAAUGAGAUAGAAAUUACGAGAGAAUCCUAUUCCUAAUAUGAUUCAAAAGUAAGAGUCACGUAUUAAUUAAAAUCCUAACGAGCCUAGAGUUCGUAACGGGCCCAGACGCAUUCCGUCAUAAGGUUAAUACGCACUAAAAGACUCAAUUAAAUCUCAAAUACUCCGGAUUCUAGGAAUCCGAAUCUGACUAAGAAAAAACAGCCCAGAUCCUAUUUUCAACGCCUGGCUCUGGGCGCCGAAAUCUUCGGCGCCCAGGCUUGGGCGCUGAAAAUACCUGGUACGUGUUUUUUCCUAAUUCCUCGUGGAUUAGAGUUCUGCAAUUCUAUCUUUCCACGAACUCUUUUCUAUAAAUAGGGCCUUAAGUUCGACGUGAAAAGGACACAACAACACACAAUUAUAUUUCUGAGUAUUGACUCUGAACCCCUAAGCCUAAGCCUCACGCUGCAAAACCGAUCACGCGUUCUGUCGCAAUUGAUCCAUAAAUCGAACAGAACGUAUCCCGUCCCAUAAUUUGAGAUUCGUUAAAUAAAAGGAGAAAUAGCAAAGUCAAAGUGGUUAGUUUUCUGAGAACCGUGACACACAUCUCAAGGGUGCGUCGUAAUGUGUCCCUUUUCCAUGGUUUAAUUGCUUUCCUCGCCCUUUUAUGAACUGUUAAACUAACUAAAAUCUGAUUGUUCGAUCACGCUUAAUAAAUAUGAUAUUUUUGGGAAAUUGGAUUAUCAUGCUAGAUCCCUUAAAACAAUCUAAAUCAGAUAAUCGCGUUCGAUCUAGUACUAUAUGUUACAUAUUGUUAAAAUCGACUCAGAUUAGUUUAAUAGUUAACGCAUGUCCCUUCAAUUAUUUAUGCUGAGCUAGUAAGGAUAUCCUGCCUCUGGAGUUAUCGAAGAGCGAGUACUCCACUCGGUAGUUACAGUCACCCGAACCCUCAAUCUCUACCCUGCGGGUGUACGUUGAGCGAUCCCCACCACCAGGGAUCACAAGGGAACCUUCGGCCGUCGUGGUCAAACAUAAUUGCACUCCCUUUAUGUCACGAUAACCGGGUUUGUCAGUUUUUCUCAUUGUCGUUAAAAACUGAAUGACGACUCCUAUAUUACUAGUCAAUUGGGUGUAAACUCACAGGAAAUCCAAUUACACUUGAUUUGACAAAAAGAAGCGUCACACGCACGAGGGACGAGGUCACGCAUUAGCCUCGUGCUUUUUCGACCCCCUCACAAUAGGGCAGUGUCCUUAACCCUUAUUUGGUGCCCACCAAAGGAAAGGGUCACAUCCAGAUUAAUAAUUUCUUGGUACAAUGAAUAUUUCAUGUUUUGGUAGUGUCCUUCACCGUUAUUCGGUAUAUCCACCAAAGGGUGACAUCCAGAUUAAUACUUGGUAAAAUGAAUAUUUCAUGCUUUGGUAGUGUAGACACCUACUUUUGUCCCCAUUCCCGAAAGGGAAGGUUCGAUGAUGAGAACAUAAAUCUCCACUUGGCAACGCAUCUCCUAUAAAAUAACGAAUCUCAAUCACCCUUUCAUUUCAUCCAAAACUGCUAUUUAUAGAAACCUGCUAAAAAUAGUAGCUGCCGUAAAAGAUAAUUGCUAAAAGUAGUAAGAAUAAAAAGAUAGAAACCUGUCAGAAUUAGGUGUUGCACUCCAACAUAAAUCCUAAAAGAGAUAGAAAUUGUAAAAGGAAUUCUAUUCCUAUCGCAAUUCGAUAAAAGAGUUAACGUAUUAAUUAAACUCAUAACGAACCUAGAGUUCGUAAAGGGCCCAGACGCAUUCCGUCGUAAUUUGAUACGCACCAAAUAACUCGGAUUAAGUCUCUUAAUGGACUCCGUACUUUAGAGUCCAAUCUGACAAAGAAUUUUGCCCAGAUCCUAUUAUCAACGCCCAGUCCUGGGCGCCGAAAUCUUUGACGCCCAGUGCUGGGCGCCGAAAAUACCUGGGACGGAUUCUUUUCCUAAUCCGUUUCGUAUUCAUAUUCCUGAAAAUCUAUCUUUCUACGCCACUUUUUCCUAUAAAUAGAGCCCUAAAGCCGACGUGAAAAGAACAACACACACACAAUUCAUAAUCUGAGUAUUGACUCCAACCCUAAGCCUAAGCCUCACGCUGCGAAAUUCAUCCCGCGUUCUGUCGCAAUCGACCCAAAAGUCGAACAGAACGUAUCCUGUCCCUUGUAGCUGAUGAAUUAAGCCUAAAUACUGGAACACUGCUCAGAAACCCGAGAUUCGUUAAAUAAAAGGAGAAAUAGCAAAGCCAAGUGGUUAGUUUUCUGAGAACCGUGACGCACCUCUCAAGGGUGCGUCGUAAUGUGUCCCUUCGUAUGAUUUAAUCGCUUUCAUCACCCUUUUAUAAAAUUGUUAAACUAUUAAUUUGAUUGAUCUAUCACGCCUAAUAAAGAUAGUACCUUGGACAAUUGAACUAUCAUGCUAGGUACCUUAAAUCAAUCUAAACAAGAUAAUCACGAUCGAUUUAGUAUUAUGUGUUGCAUAUUGCUAAAAUCAAUUCAGAAUAGUUUAAUAGUUAACGCAUGUCCCUUCAAUUAUUUAUGCUGAGCUAGUAAGGAUAACCUGCCUCUGGAAUUAUCGAUGAGCACUCCUCUCGGUAGUUACAGUCCCCCGAACUCUCAAUCUCUCCCCUGCGGGUGUAUGUUGAGCGAUCUCCACACCAGGGAUCACAAGGGAACCUAUGGUCGUCGUGGUCGAACAUAAUUGCACUCCCUUUAUGUCACGAUAACCGGGUUUUGUCAGUUUUUCUCAUUGUCGUUAAAAACUGAAUGGCGACUCCUAUAUUACUAGUCGAUUGGGUGUAAACUCACAGGAAAUCUAACUACACUUGAUCUGACGACGUCACGCCCACGAGGGACGAGGUCAUGCAUUAGCCUCGUGCUUUUUCGACCCCCUCACAGUGGCGACUCCACUAGGGAUACUUAAUGAAAACUCGUGCUCGUAGGUAAUCAAAAUAGCCGAAGGGUGAAACGAUCCUACUCCACGUUUAUUUCCUUAUCAAGUUGGAACGACCUGAAAAUCAGCAUAUUAAUGUGAACGGACAGAACCGCAUAACAAAUCCGGCUCCCUUGGCAUGUUUCAUCUCGGGAGUUGGGACUAAGGAUGCCCAUCGCCAACUGGGGGUGCAUACGCUUCGAAUGUUGUCCACUCGGCACUUUUCGCUAGUAGUACACCCGUCCCAAACCCAAUCGCUCGCCCACUAAGGUCCCUCUCAUUGAUGCAUGCCCCCUUGGCUUACAUCGUGAUUGGCCUCUUGGGACGAAAUUCGUCUGUUGAAUGCACUACCUCGACCGGGGCAUGUGUUGGAUCUACGAUAGAAGCGGUACCAAGCUGGCGUAAAUGUUACUCAUAGAAGCCUAUCAUAAACUACAUGACAUUUUAUUUUUUUUGCUUCAUGUUGUAAUGCUAGUUAUGUGUAGCGAAUUACGUGAUUGUGUUGUGAUUGUGUGUGACAAAUAACGCUAGAAAACCAACGACCCUAAAAAUUUCCCAAACAUUCAUAAACACCAAUUGGCCAAAGAGUUAUACCUAAAUACGUGUCCCGCAGUCCCGGGCGAUCGCCACAAAAAUAAGCGACGCCCAGGACGGCCUGUAACGGAUCCCACAACGCUGCACAAUGCGUAAAGGACGUUAUUAGCAACCACGCAAAAUUAAGUCGUAUGUACAAAAAAAUAGACGAACAGAAUACGAGUACCAGUCACGGACGCAUUUUCAGCGCCCCUGGCUGGGCGCCAAUUAUUUCAACGCCCCUGCUGGGCGCUGAAGUUGCUGCUUGGCCUUUUGGCCAGGCACCGCAGCCUCGGUGCCCGCGCAUAAAAUAUACGUAGCAAUAAAAAAAAUUCGCAACAAAUUUGCUACAAGGACGUAUGGAAAAAGGCACUCGAUUCUAAGAACGACUUAUAAAAUAAAUAACUCCUUGUGUCGUCACUAGGCCUCCUAUGACGACUAUGUUCGGCACCAAAACCGAGCAUGCUAAUUAAAAUGACCUUGAAUGUCACAUGGGAAAAGUAUUCAAAAAAUAAUGUUCAAAUAAAGUUUUCAAGAAAAAAUAAUGUUCGAAUAAAAAAUAAAUAAAUCCGAGUCUAGACUAGGCUAUGCCAAAGUACAAUCUAAAUCAUAAGUCUUAGUUGUCUUAUACAUAGAAUCGGUCCUAAUGCUUGGUGUCGUUCUGCAAGUUAAAAGGUUAAACCAUAUUGAGUCUCCCUUCCCAACAUUUAAAAGAAAUCAAUAAGCACCCAUAUGUAAUUUUCAUCCCUUGCUAAGAAUCUACGGCCUCAAUACUCUCUCUCACCAAUAAAAAGAAUAUAUUAUGUAAUUCAAAGUAUUUGCAAAAUGGAAACAGUCACAUUCUGAAAAUCAUUCCUCCAUAGUCGCACAACCCCCAAAGUGAAACUAAGAUGUCAAUACCAUUGGCAAAAAAAAAAAAUUAAUGGCCUCAAGGCUUAUGAUCACAUUGGGUCACGACUAUUAUAGUCCUCUCGAGCCACUCGCUCCUUGAAAUACCCCUAAGUACGGACUAAAAGAUUUUCCAGGAAUGCAACAUGACGAACCAUGAAAAUACCCAAAUCGGCAUACCAUAAGGCUACCAUUGGGGUAAAGCAAUACACACUAAGAGGGAAGCCGCACUAAUGAUUCUAGUCUUGCAAAAAUGAAAAUUCGAUCUCCCCAACUAACUACCUUGCCAACAUUAAGCAAAAUGGCGCAUGACAAAUGAACACCCAAGGGUUAAAAUCUAAAGUGUCAACCAACGAAAGUUAUGGUCCAAUUAGCCUAAGUCUGAGAGUCGCUUGGUCAAGUCAUUAUUUUGAGUCUAGGCCACCUCCUUGUAUUCGUACACGGGUUAUAAUCAGAAAAAUUAAUGAAAGUUCGAGUCUAAAUCACAACUUCCAAUUAAAUCCCGGAAACUGGAAUCUGAAAAGAAGCAAAAAAAUUAUUUUCGAUGUAAUUCUUUCGUUAAAUUUCAAUAAAGUAAAAACAAUAUUUUGAAUCUACGCUAUUUGCACAUUUUAAGAAACGACUAAAUACGCUUGCAAAGUAAGACAAUUUAAAGGUCCACCCUAGGCCUACUAAAAUUAAAGGUCCACUAUAGGCCUACCAAACGAGGCUCACUCAGUCUCGCCUCGUGACUCAAAGACCACAACCAUCUACCUUUUAGCCCAAAUUAAAAAAAAUUGAAGGAUUUAUGUUGGGGAGAAAUCCCAAGCAAAAAGAAAAAAAGAGAAAGAGAAAAGGGAGAGAGAAAAGAGCGAGCCAUGAAAUACUUAAAGAGAAAGAGAAAAGGGAGAGCGAAAAGAGCGAGCCAUGAAAUACUUAGCCCGUACCUCCCAAAGUGCGAAAUUUACCCAAGUAAACGAAGGAAAAGAAUUGAGUCAACCAAUCCGAAUCAUACCACAGAAACUACAUAAAGUUCUACGAUCUUCUACCCUUUCCAAUCCUCAUGCUUGACUAAUACCUAUACAAAUUAUCAUAUCUCAUUGAACCCAUCUUUCAAGCCGUCUUGAGUCACGAAUAAAAAAAAAGACAAAUGAAAAGUACAUUCUACGCUUAACGUAAAAAAAAAAAAUGAUGAAAAAGAAACUUUGCAAAGCGCCUUUAAAGUUCGUCUAAAAAGAAAAAAAAAGCAUUUAGCGCACAAAAAAGAUUCGCAAAUAUUUGGCACAAAACGAAAAGGAGCAGCGCAAAAAGGCAGCCCAGAACACGUUUUCAAAGCCCAGGCCUAGGCGCCAAAAAUAAUAACGCCGAGCCCUGGGCGCCGCUCUUGCUUAUCACUUUUCAACUCCCAAUUCCUAAAAGUGUCCGUAUAUUUUCAUAUAUACAUGCGGAAGAAUAACGAACACUUGGGAGGUAGAAGAUCAUAUAAAAUACGCAAAAUACGCGCACUCCAAAAUUUUCGUACACUUAUUUCACCCUAUUUCAAACAUUACGAUUCCACUCGAACGUACUUGUUUAAAAUCGGCAUUCUAAGAAACCAUUUUCUGGUUAAGAACUACGCAAGACCUGAUUCCAAAUUAAAUCUAUUUAAGGCGGAUACGUAGGCAAUCCAUGAUUCGGUCCAACCAAUUUGCAAAAAUGUUAGAGCCUAUAGAAUAACAAGAAUAAAAAAUAGAGUCCCUUACUGAAAUUUAAUUACUUGAAAUCCAGGUCGAAAGAAAAAAAAAAUUUAAGUCAAAGGAAGAAUCCAAGUCAUCAAGAUGCCAAAAUGAGCACACACCGAAAAAUAAUAAGGGCACGUACCCUUGCCAGAAAGAGCACUCACACUCCUAGGCACUUAGCCAAUACUCAAAAGAUCGCUUUGCCUCAAUUGAAUGGGGGCUAGCGCGAGCAUCCAUGACCUCUAAAGUACUCAACUUGACCCUCCCUAAAGCAAAGUAACUCACUCAAAGACCUUCUUUCACCACUAGACACAGUCAUAAUCGCCAACAAGUAGUAAAGGCAGUAAGCUUGCAAUAAAAAGGAUUAUUCUACGACCUCGCCCCAUCGUUCCUUCGAACACAGGGCACCCAUUCAUGGUAAUUCGAAUGCUUGCUAAUCCCCUUUGAAAAAAUCAGACAUUGUCAAUAGGACUUGGCACUUAACCAGGGCUCACCCUACUUAGACAAAUGACACGGGCAUCUAAAAUCGAAAUCUGAAAGCAUCACUAAUGAGAAGACAUAAUAGCAACUGGGGGCUAAAAAUUGAAAUGAAAGAGCUAGGGAAAGAACUAAGUAUACCUUGACCUUUUGUACAGACAUACACCAAGUAAAUCUAAAUCAAUUUGAAAGCGGUUUAUAUUUCCGCAAUCCUGGAAAAGAUGGCCCUAAAAUCCUAAAGCAUAUGCCACACGGGCACAAGUAAUAUCUUGACGCCUGCACCCUGGCUUCCAGCAAAUCCUUAGACAGCAUUCCAAAAAUCGUAACAGUAUUUUGAUUCACUCACGUAAUCCUGUAAGAACCCUUCUAUAAGUCAACUUACCUAGGACACCUCGGAUUCUACACAAUAGGACUCGGAUUUCAAAUAAUUUUCAAAGACUUCUUCGAACAUAAUAAAGUGUCGUUGGUUUAAGCUAAGUAUGCGUUUAUCUCGAUGUUGCAAGUGAGUCAAAAAGAUUUCUAAAUAUGAUUAUGGGUAAAGAAAGGCACCUAGCUUUUGGUCAAGGCACACUUCAACAUGUGACUACCUUGACCAUGGCAAUGUCGCACAAUACGACAUUUACAAGAGAAGUAGCAAAUCACUACUCGAACGUACCUCGCACUAAACGAGUCUGGUUCAAACUAUUCAUGAUCCAUGUCACCAUGAAUGCAUAAAAACGUAUGCCAAGCAUUAUAGCACCAAGCCAAUCCCAUAGCUACAAUUGGGGGCUUGAGAAAAACACUCUAAAAAUGCUCGAAAUGACGAUUUUAUCACAAAUUCUCGACGCUAAUGCUAUACACACGUCAAAGGGGCACAAUCCUAAGGUUUGAUCGUGUAAAACGAACUUUAGAAUGGCUACAACCCCUCCCAAGUUCUAAGCGUUACUUAGAAUAUAUAAAGUCACCCCACUAACAAGGGUAACUGAAAAUCGCGAGUCACCAAAACUCCGAUCAGACUACUGCACAUAACGCUCGCCCUACAAGCGCCCGUUACACAGUCUACGUCGUUCCAAAGCAAAAGCGAAAGAAAAAUCAAGGAUAAAAAAAAAAAAAAAAACAUCUAUGAAUCCUCGCAUCGAACGAAGUAAUAAGCCAUGCACACCCACGCAGAAGGUGCUACACUUGUUCAAGCACCUGAACGAGGCGUGAUGAAGUACUCCAAUGCAAAAAAUAAUAAUAAUGUCCCAACACCUGGAGGUAUGAUCUAAGACACGAUGUUAGGCCACACAAGCCUACGUCGCACCAUAAGUUUAACCAUCCCACGGUACAAGUCUAAAAAAAAGAGUAAGGCAUAUUGCACUAAUGCAGGCACGACCAAGAGCAUGUGUAAAAGAGGCAAAGACUACUUAUCGCCCAAAUUCAAAAUGCAAGCCACACGACUUCUACAUUAAGGAUUAAAGGUAGCAAAACAUUACCUACCACGGAAGGGAUAGCUCGCACCUACACGAGCGGAACCCCAAGGUAUCUUUCUCGAAAGAACCUACAAAAAUCGUACGCCAAAAGGAAGCAUCCCAACAUGCAUACUUGGGGGCUCCAAGCUACGAAAUGACCAUAGCGAAAAAAAAAGUCUCAAAGCAAAUGUUUGAAUGAUCAAAAGGGCACGAUGUUUGGUCCCACUUCAGGAAUGAGCCGGAACCCUAUAAAGCUUCUAAGCAAACUAUUCAACAUCUGUUAAUGCUAAAAAAAAAAUGAUUCAAGCGAACUGAUUAAUGGACCGCACGCAACGGCCAUUCUAUGAACGCUCGUUCGCACAUAUGUUCUAAGUAUCGAACACUCACGAACACGUUCAAAAGAAAAAAAUAUAAGUUCAAAAUAACAACAAGAGCGAUCAAAGUCUUACGCCUCAAGGUAUGUUCCUCGGGUCAUAUAGACUCGCCCGACUAUUGCAAUACCUGUACGCCUUAAGAGCAACAGUUCCUUUAAAUAAUCGCCCCAAAGCGACAAACACCGUAGUCCACCAAUCGGCUAUGGCUUCUCGAGAAAUCAUCACGAGAAAGUCCGGCCUGGGACGCACUUUCAACGCCCAGGAUCAGGCGCCAGAUAUUCCGACGCCCAGCUCUUGGCGCUGAAAAUCAGCUCAUCUCAUUGUGAUCUCUAAAAUUAUACGUCCCAAAAAUAAAGAAAAACUAAAGAGAAGAGAAUACAUAGAAUUUCCAAGUGAAAUAAACGAACGAACAAGAGGCCAACUGUGUCAUCAAAAGACCAGCCCAAACAACAUUUUCAACGCCCAACCUAGGGCAAUAAUUAUUUCAACGCCCGGGCCUGGGCGCCCGAAAUGAACCCAGGCUCAAAAAAGGCCCUAACUUCUAUAGGGCCCUGCCGUAUCCGUUCGACCCGAAAAUUGCCGAUUUCUUCACUGAAAGUCGCACUCCACGACUUCAUCAAAGUAGCAUACCACUACAAAGAUUGCUCGCACUUACGAGCACGAUCCCCAAACACGAUCAAGGACAUUACAAAAUGCGUAUCCCCAAGGAACCUCUUUGACAAGAAAUGACCGUCAAGAAGGAAUGCUUGGGGGCUCAAAAGAAAAUAUAUAUUUCAAAAGAGAGUAUGCAAAGUUAAAACAAUAUUCCCAGACUACGUUGUACGAAGUCCCGUGUUUGGAUAAUCUCAAAAGAUAAAACCGGAUUACGACCUCAAAGACAAAGGUCGCCGUUGAUACUUACACAUAGUCCCCUAAUCAAGGACCCAGGUAGUGGCAAAAUUGAGCCGUAAAGACUAGCUCAAAACCAUGAAAGAUGAUGACUACGAGACAAUGGUCCGUCUAAGCACGUUGUCAACUCACAUUCAGGUUGCAACUAAAUCCGAGCAUCCCUCGAAAGAAAAUAAAUCUGUCAAAAAACAAAAACAGGCUCGCCAUCUUCAGCCGGCAGGGUCUGCGUCACUAACCGCGCAGAUCCUCAGUUUUCGAAAAUGAAAAGAAAAUAGAAUCUUCAAAAAAAAUAGGCUCGCCCACCUUCAGCGGGCGGGGGCUUGCGUCACUAACCGCGCAGGUCCUCAGUUUUCAAAAAUGAAAUGUUCAAAAACACAAAACAGGCUCGCCAUCUUCAGCCGGCGGGGUCUACGUCACAAACCGCGCAGGUCCUUAUUUUCAAAACAUCAAAACAGAUUCGUCCACUUCUAUCGGACGGGGCUUCCACCCUCAGCGGACAGGCUCGCCCACCUUCAGCGGGCGGGGUCUGCGUCACUAACCACGCAGGUCCUUAGUCGCUGCAGCGAUAACUUUUCCCGGUUUAUCCUUUUCCAAAAAUCAAAGGAUGGUUUAUCUUUUUCCAAAAAUCAAAGGAUGGUUUAUCUUUUUCCAAAAAUCAAAAGAUGGUUUAUCUUUUUCCAAAAAUCUAAAGAUGGUUUAUCUUUUUCCAAAAAUCAAAAGAUGGUUUCUCUUUUCAAAAAAAUCAAAAAAUUGGUUUUCCGCUUUUCCAAAAAAGAGCGAUGUGUUGGAUUUUCCUUCGUUUUACGUCCUAUAAAAACAAGGGGGUUUUCUCGUUUAGCUAACCCUAAAAAUGAGAAUCUUUAAAAACAUUUUUACCUCGUGAUCGGGCUUGGCCAGGCCUGGUUACACUUUAUAGCUUUGAUUUCGUAAACGUUUGUAGAUACUUCCAAUGACAAAGUGAGGGAGUUUCUAUACAUUUGUAGGUACUUCCAAUGACAAAGUGAGGGAGUUUCUAUACUUAACAAAUUCCAAUGACACGUGAGGAAUGUGUUAACACUUCAAGUGAUGACCCUUAAGUCAAAUGUUAUCACUCGGGGGCUCGUGAGACCCUCGCAAAGCAGGUCACAUAUACCAUGGCUUGUAUGACGCACUCCGUCUGAUACUUUGACCAUCGUCUUACUCCAAGACUCAGUCAAAGUGGGGGCUAACUGUAGACACCUACUUUUGUCCCCAUUCCCGAAAGGGAAGGUUCGAUGAUGAGAACAUAAAUCUCCACUUGGCAAAGCAUCUCCUAUAAAAUAAAGAAUCUCAAUCACCCUUUCAUUUCAGCCAAAACCGCUAUUUAUAGAAACCUGCUAAAAAUAGUAGCUGCCGUAAAAGGUAAUUGCUAAAAGUAGUAAGAAUAAAAAGAUAGAAACCUGUCAGAAUCAGGUGUUGCACUCCAACAUAAAUCCUAAAAGAGAUAGAAAUUGUAAAAGGAAUUCUAUUUCUAUCGCAAUUCGAUAAAAGAGGUAACGUAUUAAUUAAACUCAUAACGAACCUAGAGUUCGUAAAGGGCCCAGACACAUUCCGUCGUAAAUUGAUACGCACCAAAUAACUCGGAUUAAGUCUCUUAAUGGACUCCGUACUCUAGAGUCCAAUCUGACAAAGAAUUCUGCCCAGAUCCUAUUAUCAACGCCCAGUCCUGGGCGCCGAAAUCUUUGACGCCCAGUGCUGGGCGUCGAAAAUACCUGGGACGGAUUCUUUUCCUAAUCCGUUUCGUAUUCAUAUUCCUGAAAAUCUAUCUUUCUACGCCACUUUUUCCUAUAAAUAGAGCCCUAAAGACGACGUGAAAAGAACAACACACACACAAUUCAUAAUCUGAGUAUUGACUCCAACCCUAAGCCUAAGCCUCACGCUGCGAAAUUGAUCCAGCGUUCUGUCGCAAUCGACCCAAAAGUCGAACAGAACGUAUCAUGUCCCUUGUAGCUGAUGAAUUAAGCCUAAAUACUGGAACACUGCUCAGAAACUCGAGAUUCGUUAAAUAAAAGGAGAAAUAGCAAAGCCAAGUGGUUAGUUUUCUGAGAACCGUGACGCACCUCUCAAGGGUGCGUCGUAAUGUGUCGAUCCCUUCUUAUGAUUUAAUCGCUUUCAUCAUCCUUUUAUAAAAUUGUUAAACUAUUAAUUUGAUUGAUCUAUCACGCCUAAUAAAGAUAAUACCUUGGACAAUUGAACUAUCAUGCUAGGUACCUUAAAUCAAUCUAAACAAGAUAAUCACGAUCGAUUUAGUAUUAUGUGUUGCAUAUUGCUAAAAUCAAUUCAGAAUAGUUUAAUAGUUAACGCAUGUCCCUUCAAUUAUUUAUGCUGAGCUAGUAAGGAUAAACUGCCUCUAGAGUUAUCGAUGAGCACUCCUCUCGGUAGUUACAGUCCCCCGAACACUCAAUCUCUGCCCUGCGGGUGUACGUUGAGCGAUCCCCACACCAGGGAUCACAAGGGAACCUAUGGCCGUCGUGGUCGAACAUAAGUGCACUCCCUUUAUGUCACGAUAACCGGGUUUUGUCAGUUUUUCUCAUUGUCAUUAAAAACUGAAUGGCGACUCCUAUAUUACUAGUCGAUUGGGUGUAAACUCACAGGAAAUCUAACUACACUUGAUCUGACGACAUCACGCCGACGAGGGACGAGGUCAUGCAUUAGCCUCGUGCAUUUUCGACCCCCUCACAGGUAAUGUCCUUUAACUUUAUUCGGUACCCACCAAAGGGUAACAUCCAGAUUAAUUCUCUCUUAUACGUUCUUGGUAGUGUCCUUACCUAUAUCCGGUAGCGACCAACAACAGAGAUAAUGGGUUGUAUUCAGUUGAAACAGGACUGGUUUCUACCAUCUGUGCAGGUUAAUGAUGAUACAGGAAGUCUGUGUAUUAAACGCUUCGACAUUGAUAAGGAGAGAUUGAUUCCAAUCAUAGAGAGUUGCACGGAAACCGAGUGUAACAUAGCUGCAUAUGUGCUAGACGAUGACAGAGAUAUGGGUAAACUCUAAUUUACCUUCCGCGGCUAAAAGUAAUUGAGAAAUAUUUUUGAAACGUGUGCCCCUCUGUUUACACCGUGAAUUAUUAAUUAAGAACCGGUGGAUUAAAACGACGCUGCUUGAGUUACGCGAUUUCUAUCCCUGGACCACAAUUUCAGAAACGGCGAUGAACUGCGUUGGCAUUAGAAUUACGGAAAUGAAUCCUUGUGUGUGGUAUAUUCCCACACACCUCAAGGACAUGGAUUAUACCAAACUGAAGGCCGAAGGUUCCAUUGGGAAAUCAGACACUUACUUUCCAUACAAGAACCCUGUGAACUCAGAGUACUUGCCAACUGACCCAGACCUGUGCCAUACCAUAUUAAUCCCGUGUUUUUUCGAAAAUCCAGAUCAUUGGUCCUACUCGUUGUAAACAUGAUAUCAUGUCAGGGGUAUUUGUAUGACUCGUGUAUUGAUGAUAUACUUUCCUUAAACCGGAUCAAGAUUGCAAGGGGGCAAGUAUUUCAUAUGAAAAAUUGCUCAAAUAUCUUGUCAUGCAACUGGAAACAACACCCCAAGCGCAACAGAUUCACUAGUAUGCGGACGUGGGCAGUCAUUCCAAAUCCCUUAUUCCCACAACAAACAAACGAGUUCGAUUGCGGAAUGUAUGUGAUUAAGGUAUUGAUGGAUACAAGUUCUCAGUACAACAAAUGGGAAUACUACCAAAAUUUGGAUGUGUGUCGGCUUAAGACGUUGGCAUGGUUAAUGGGCUGGGAAAACAACUACAUCAAAGAUGAGGUGUUAAAGAUGGUAGAAGCAUGUGCGAAACAAAAGUAGAGUUUGGAGUAGUCAAGCCUUGUGUAUUUGGAGUAGUCUAGCCUUGUGUAUAUUCAACUACAAAUUUUUACAAAUUUAGGUAACGACCAUUAAUGUAGAUGGACACUGUCAAAAUUAGAUUGAGAUUGUUGUUGAAUGAUGUAUUGUAAUGUCCAUUUUUUAUGUUUGGUAGUUAUCCUCCACAUUAUUUAAAGUAAAUGGAUUUAUAAAUUAAACCUUAAUAAGUCGAAAAUGGUA